AAGCGACGCAGCGGUUAGCGCAGGCGACUCAAAAUCGUGUUCCCUCCGGGAAUGAGGGUUCGAUUCCCUCCUUCG
This 75-nucleotide transfer RNA is filed under the name Anaerolineales bacterium. RNAcentral's name for it is "tRNA-Leu". Lineage: Bacteria; Bacillati; Chloroflexota; Anaerolineae; Anaerolineales. The record is from RNAcentral.